Molecule: ribosomal RNA, 229 nt
Filed under: uncultured bacterium
Lineage: Bacteria
Description: partial 16S ribosomal RNA
Rfam family: Bacterial small subunit ribosomal RNA
Source: RNAcentral
UGCGUAGGCGGACUAUUAAGUCAGUGGUGAAAUCUCUCGGCUCAACCGAGAAACUGCCAUUGAAACUGAUAGCCUUGAGUGUAGUUGUAGUAGGCGGAAUAUAGCAUGUAGCGGUGAAAUGCUUAGAUAUGCUAUAGAACAUCGAUCGCGAAGGCAGCUUACUAAACUAUCACUGACGCUCAUGCACGAAAGCGUGGGGAGCAAACAGGAUUAGAUACCCUGGUAGUCC